GAUGAAGAACGUAGCGAAAUGCGAUACCUGGUGUGAAUUGCAGAAUCCCGCGAACCAUCGAGUCUUUGAACGCAAGUUGCGCCCGAGGCCACUCGGCCGAGGGCACGCCUGCCUGGGCGUCACGCCAAAACACGCUCCCAACCCCCCCUCAUCGGGAAUAGGGAUGCGGCAUAUGGUCCCUCGUCUCGCAAGGGGCGGUGGGCCGAAGAUCGGGCUGCCGGCGGACCGCGCCGGACACAGCGCAUGGUGGGCGUCCUCGCUUUAUCAACGCAGUGCAUCCGACGCGUAGCCGGCGUGAUGGCCUCAAAACGACCCAGCAAACGAAGCGCACGUCGCUUCGACCGCGACCCCAGGUCAGGCGGGACUACCCGCUGAGUUUAAGCAUAUCAAUAAGCGGAGGA
Molecule: unclassified non-coding RNA, 401 nt
Filed under: soil metagenome
Description: partial contains 5.8S ribosomal RNA, internal transcribed spacer 2, and large subunit ribosomal RNA
Rfam family: 5.8S ribosomal RNA (bases 1-122)
Source: RNAcentral